This 253-nucleotide ribosomal RNA is filed under the name uncultured bacterium. RNAcentral describes it as "partial 16S ribosomal RNA". It matches the Rfam family "Bacterial small subunit ribosomal RNA", at positions 524 to 776 of the family's 1533-position model. The record is from RNAcentral.
UACGUAGGUGGCAAGCGUUGUCCGGAUUUACUGGGUGUAAAGGGUGCGCAGGCGGGCCUUUAAGUAAGAAGUGAAAGGUGGGAGCUCAACUCCUACACUGCUUCUUAUACUGGGGGCCUUGAGUCUUGGAGGGGGAAGCGGAACGACACGUGUAGCGGUGAAAUGCGUUGAUAUGUGUCGGAACACCAAUGGCGAAAGCAGCUUCCUGGACAAGUACUGACGCUCAGGCACGAAAGCCAAGGUAGCAAACAGG